This 253-nucleotide ribosomal RNA is filed under the name uncultured bacterium. RNAcentral's name for it is "partial 16S ribosomal RNA". It matches the Rfam family "Bacterial small subunit ribosomal RNA", at positions 524 to 776 of the family's 1533-position model. The record is from RNAcentral.
UACGUAGGGAGCAAGCGUUGUCCGGAAUCAUUGGGCGUAAAGCGCGCGUAGGUGGCCUCAUAAGUCCGUUGUGAAAGUCAAAGGCUCAACCUUUGAAAGCCGAUGGAUACUGUGAGACUAGAGUACGGAAGAGGCGAGUGGAAUUCCUGGUGUAGCGGUGGAAUGCGUAGAUAUCAGGAGGAACACCGGUGGCGAAGGCGGGUCUCUGGGCAGUAACUGACGCUGAGGAGCGAAAGCGUGGGGAGCGAACAGG